GUGAACGCUGGCGGUAGGCCUAACACAUGCCAGUCGAACGGCAGCACAGUAAGAGCUUGCUCUUACGGGUGGCGAGUGGCGGACGGGGGAGGAAUACAUCGGAAUCUACUUUUUCGUGGGGGAUAACGUAGGGAAACUUACGCUAAUACCGCAUACGACCUACGGGUGAAAGCAGGGGAUCUUCGGACCUUGCGCGAUUGAAUAAGCCGAUGUCGGAUUAGCUAGUUGGCGGGGUAAAGGCCCACCAAGGCGACGAUCCGUAGCUGGUCUGAGAGGAUGAUCAGCCACACUGGAACUGAGACACGGUCCAGACUCCUACGGGAGGCAGCAGUGGGGAAUAUUGGACAAUGGGCGCAAGCCUGAUCCAGCCAUACCGCGUGGGUGAAGAAGGCCUUCGGGUUGUAAAGCCCUUUUGUUGGGAAAGAAAAGCAGCAGGUUAAUACCCCGCUGUUCUGACGGUACCCAAAGAAUAAGCACCGGCUAACUUCGUG
RNAcentral lists this ribosomal RNA (491 nucleotides) under uncultured bacterium. RNAcentral's name for it is "partial 16S ribosomal RNA". It matches the Rfam family "Bacterial small subunit ribosomal RNA", at positions 29 to 507 of the family's 1533-position model. The record is from RNAcentral.